UACGGGGGAUGCAAGCGUUAUCCGGAUUUAUUGGGUUUAAAGGGUGCGUAGGCGGACGCUUAAGUCAGCGGUAAAAUUGCGGGGCUCAACCUCGUCGAGCCGUUGAAACUGGGUGCCUUGAGUGGGCGAGAAGUACGCGGAAUGCGUGGUGUAGCGGUGAAAUGCAUAGAUAUCACGCAGAACUCCGAUUGCGAAGGCAGCGUACCGGCGCCCAACUGACGCUGAAGCACGAAGGCGUGGGUAUCGAACAGG
Molecule: ribosomal RNA, 252 nt
Filed under: uncultured bacterium
Lineage: Bacteria
Description: partial 16S ribosomal RNA
Rfam family: Bacterial small subunit ribosomal RNA
Source: RNAcentral